UACAGGGGGGGCAAGCGUUGUUCGGAAUUACUGGGCGUAAAGGGCUCGUAGGUGGCCAACUAAGUCGGACGUGAAAUCCCUCGGCUUAACCGGGGAACUGCGUCCGAUACUGGUUGGCUUGAGUUUGGGAGAGGGAUGCGGAAUUCCAGGUGUAGCGGUGAAAUGCGUAGAUAUCUGGAGGAACACCGGUGGCGAAGGCGGCAUCCUGGACCGGUAUUGACGCUGAGGCGCGAAAGCCAGGGGAGCAAACGGG
This 253-nucleotide ribosomal RNA is filed under the name uncultured bacterium. Its description in RNAcentral is "partial 16S ribosomal RNA". It matches the Rfam family "Bacterial small subunit ribosomal RNA", at positions 524 to 776 of the family's 1533-position model. The record is from RNAcentral.